GUUUGUUUACAUUUGAGCAACGAGAAUGAUAUUAAUUGCGAAAGCAUUGACUUUGAGAAGCCAAAUAAAUACCCUGCUCAACGACAAUUCUUCAAGAGAAAUAUUAGAAAAGUCUUACUACUCAUCACCAUGCCUUGGCAAAAAAGAUAGCUGAGUUAAAGAAAUAACAUUUAAUCGUAUUAGAUUUAAUAAAGGACCUUGGGAUGCCGAUUAAUUCAUGAUGAACAAAACAACGUAAGAAUCAGUUUUGGGAACACGAUUGCCAACGAAAUGGAUCUGCUUUUUUUAAAGAGAACUUUCGUAUGGACCGAAAUUCCUUUGAUAAAUUAUGUGACAUCCUUCGCCCGCUACAAAAAAUAGAGACGAAUUACCGAAAAGCUAUUCCUAUCGAGAAAAGGGUGGCUAUAACAUUAUUUGCUUUAGGGUCAUCUGCAGAGUAUCGGAGUAUUGCCAACAUGUUCGGUGUAGGAAAAUCUACGGUUUGCGAAAUUUUACUGGAAUUUUGCACCGAAAUCUGGAGAUUACUGCAACCAUCCUGUUUUAAAAUGUUGUCUCUAAACAGAGAAAAUAUAACCGAAUUGGUGACUGGUUUCGAGGUAAUUGGAUUCCCACAAUGUUUAGGAGCAAUUGACGGAUGCCACAUUAAAAUUCACCCAUCAUCUGACGAAGCUGUGGAAUAUUAUAAAUAUAAAGGAGGGUAUUCCACCGUUUUAUUGGCAUUGUUUGCAAUGCAUUUUCAGAUACCGUUUUACUUACAUAAACGUAGGAAGUCCCGGGCGAUGUAAUGACUCUCAAAUUUAUGAGAAAGAAAUAGAUAGUUGUCGUUUACUAACCGAAAUGUCUCGAGACAUUUCAGGCAUAAAUGUGCCAAUAUUUAUUAUUGGGGAUUCGGCUUUUCGUUUUAGCAAACAAAUGAUGAAACCGUAUCCAUUUAGCGUAAAUCAAAAUCAUCGUGAGAAGGUAUUCAAGUACACUCUUUCGAAAACCCGUAGAGCGGUCGAAAAUGCUUUUGGACACCUCAAGGCCCGCUUUCGACGCAUCGGAAAAGGAAUUAACAACUCUGUACGGAAUGCCAACUCAAUAAUAAAAACAUGUUGCGUCCUUCACAAUUUUUUAAAUGAUAACAACGACACGCUAAACACUAAAUGGUUACGCGCUUUGGAAGAGUUGGAGACUAGACGCCAAAAUCCGUCUGAUGUUUCAUAUCCAUCUGACGACCCAAUUAAUGGAGAAACGAUAAGGACACCACUUUGUUCAUAUUUUGGUAAGUACAUGUGUAUAUUGCAUCACAAUGGCUACAUUUUACUCUCAACCCGUCGUAAAGCAUCGGAAAAUUAUAAAUUUUUACACUUGUUUAAAAAAAUUGUUGUUGACUUUCGUACAAAAAU
RNAcentral lists this long non-coding RNA (1388 nucleotides) under Bactrocera tryoni. RNAcentral describes it as "uncharacterized LOC120768432, transcript variant X3". The record is from RNAcentral. Lineage: Eukaryota; Metazoa; Arthropoda; Insecta; Diptera; Tephritidae.